GACGAACGCUGGCGGCGUGCUUAACACAUGCAAGUCGAACGGAAAGGCCCUGCUUUUGUGGGGUGCUCGAGUGGCGAACGGGUGAGUAACACGUGAGUAACCUGCCCUUGACUUUGGGAUAACUUCAGGAAACUGGGGCUAAUACCGGAUAGGAGCUCCUGCUGCAUGGUGGGGGUUGGAAAGUUUCGGCGGUUGGGGAUGGACUCGCGGCUUAUCAGCUUGUUGGUGGGGUAGUGGCUUACCAAGGCUUUGACGGGUAGCCGGCCUGAGAGGGUGACCGGCCACAUUGGGACUGAGAUACGGCCCAGACUCCUACGGGAGGGAGCAGUGGGGAAGAGUGCACAAUGGGCGGAAGCCUGAUGCAGCAACGCCGCGUGCGGGAUGACGGCCUUCGGGUUGUAAACCGCUUUCGCCUGUGACGAAGCGUGAGUGACGGUAAUGGGUAAAGAAGCACCGGCUAACUACGUG
Molecule: ribosomal RNA, 468 nt
Filed under: uncultured bacterium
Lineage: Bacteria
Description: partial 16S ribosomal RNA
Rfam family: Bacterial small subunit ribosomal RNA
Source: RNAcentral